GGCGGGGCUGCGUGCGUGGCGUGUCCGCUGGACCAGGGGACGGGGGCGCGCCGCAGGUGUAGGAGCUUUGCGCGCCUACCUGGCGGUCGUGGGUCGAGGAGGGGUCAAGAAUUGUUGUCUAGCAGCCCUCUCCCCGCUGCCCUGUCCUGGCCGAGGCAAAGGCCGCGUGCGCUCCGCGUCUGCCAGGCUUUAGGGCUGCGCGGACACUGGGUGGGUGGUGGGCCGAGGCGACCGGAAGGUCCUGGCCGCCUUUCCGGUCUCCUCAGCACCCUGGAGCGCCGCCCUCGGGUUUCGGUCUCCUGGAUCUGCGGGUCGGUCUCGGCGGGCGGAUUACUCCUCGCCCACAACCUCGAGGCCCCGGGGUCAACCGCGCCCUCCGGGCCGGCAACCCAGGGUUUAGUCAGAUUCCUCCUGACCCACCGCUUCUGGGAAAGAGGCGCCUCCCGUCAGGAGGAUGCUGAGUUCCUCAUGACUGGACCAGUGAGUGUCCACUCCCUGGUCCCUGGCGAGAGAGGCGGGACCCCCACGCCCUCCUGGCGCUCUUUGCAGAGAUGUUCCUCAGGCCCAAUCCGGGAUUUGGGAUGUCUGUGCGUGCUGUGGAGCAGAGAGUUUGCAACAUGGUCUCACUUUGUCACCCAGGCUGGAAUGCAUUGGCAUGAACACGUCUCACUGCAGCCUCAACCUCCCAGGCUGAAGUGACCCUCCAACUCUGCUUUCACAGUAGCUGUGAUAUGGUUUGGCUGUGUCCCCACCCACAUCUCAUCUUAAAACCCAGUGGGAGGUAAUUGAAUCAUGGGGGCAAGUCUUUCCUGUGCUGUUCUUGUGAUAGUGAAUAAGUCUCAUGAGAUCUGAUGGUUUUUAAAAGAGUUCUGGCUGGGCAUGGUGGUGGGCACCUGUAAUCCAAACUACUAGGGAGGCUGAGGCAGAGUGAAUUGCUUGAACCUGGGAGAAGGAGGUUGCAGUGAGCCGAGAUUGCACCGCUGCACUCCAGCCUGGGCAAAAUUGAAGACUCUGUCUCCAAAAAAAAAAAAAAGGAGUUCCUCUGCAUAAGCUCUCUCUCUUUGCCUGCUGCCAUCCAUGUAAGAUGUGACUUGCUCUUCCUUGCCCUAUGAUUGUGAGUCUUUCCCCAGCCACGUGGAACUGUAAGUCCAAAUAAACCUCUUUCUUUUGUAAAUUG
Molecule: long non-coding RNA, 1177 nt
Organism: Homo sapiens (human)
Lineage: Eukaryota; Metazoa; Chordata; Mammalia; Primates; Hominidae
Gene: UGDH-AS1
Product: UGDH antisense RNA 1
Source: Ensembl